This 524-nucleotide ribosomal RNA is filed under the name uncultured bacterium. RNAcentral's name for it is "partial 16S ribosomal RNA". It matches the Rfam family "Bacterial small subunit ribosomal RNA", at positions 28 to 523 of the family's 1533-position model. The record is from RNAcentral.
GACGAACGCUGGCGGCGUGCCUAAUACAUGCAAGUCGAGCGCAGGAAACUGACGGAACUCUUCGGAGGGAAGGCAGCGGAAUGAGCGGCGGACGGGUGAGUAGCACGUAAGGAACCUGCCUCAAGGAUUGGGAUAACUCCGAGAGAUCGGAGCUAAUACCGGAUAGUUCAUCGGACCGCAUGGUCCGCUGAUGAAAGGCGCUCCGGCGUCACCUUGAGAUGGCCUUGAGGUGCAUUAGCUAGUUGGUGGGGUAACGGCCCACCAAGGCGACGGUGCAUAGCCGACCUGAGAGGGUGAUCGGCCACACUGGGACUGAGACACGGCCCAGACUCCUACGGGAGGCAGCAGUAGGGAAUCUUCCACAAUGGACGAAAGUCUGAUGGAGCAACGCCGCGUGAGUGAUGAAGGUUUUCGGAUCGUAAAACUCUGUUGUAAGGGAAGAACACGUACGAGAGGGAAUGCUCGUACCUUGACGGUACCUUACGAGAAAGCCACGGCUAACUACGUGCCAGCCGCCGCAGUAA